Molecule: ribosomal RNA, 387 nt
Filed under: uncultured bacterium
Lineage: Bacteria
Description: bacterial SSU rRNA
Rfam family: Bacterial small subunit ribosomal RNA
Source: RNAcentral
GACGAACGCUGGCGGCGUGCUUAACACAUGCAAGUCGAGCGGUAAGGCCCUUUCGGGGGUACACGAGCGGCGAACGGGUGAGUAACACGUGGGUGACCUGCCCUCAGCUCUGGGAUAAGCCUGGGAAACCGGGUCUAAUACUGGAUAUGACUCCAUGACGCAUGUUGUGGGGUGGAAAGCCUUGUGCGGCUGAGGAUGGGGCCCGCGGCCUAUCAGCUUGUUGGUGGGGUGAGGCCUACCAAGGCGACGACGGGUAGCCGGCCUGAGAGGGCGACCGGCCACACUGGGACUGAGACACGGCCCAGACUCCUACGGGAGGCAGCAGUGGGGAAUCUUGCGCAAUGGGCGAAAGCCUGACGCAGCGACGCCGCGUGAGGGAUGACGGCC